RNAcentral lists this ribosomal RNA (390 nucleotides) under uncultured bacterium. RNAcentral describes it as "bacterial SSU rRNA". It matches the Rfam family "Bacterial small subunit ribosomal RNA", at positions 28 to 423 of the family's 1533-position model. The record is from RNAcentral.
GACGAACGCUGGCGGCGUGCUUAACACAUGCAAGUCGAGCGGAAAGGCCCUUCGGGGUACUCGAGCGGCGAACGGGUGAGUAACACGUGGGUAACCUGCCCUUCACUCUGGGAUAACUCCGGGAAACCGGGGCUAAUACCGGAUACGACCACUUUAGGCAUCUUCGGUGGUGGAAAGUUUUUCGGUGGAGGAUGGACCCGCGGCCUAUCAGCUUGUUGGUGGGGUAAUGGCCUACCAAGGCAGUGACGGGUAGCCGGCCUGAGAGGGCGACCGGCCACACUGGGACUGAGACACGGCCCAGACUCCUACGGGAGGCAGCAGUGGGGAAUAUUGCGCAAUGGGCGGAAGCCUGACGCAGCGACGCCGCGUGAGGGAUGACGGCCUUCGGUU